CGGCUCACAUGACCCAGCCUCCCUCCCUGCUCUCCAGGGCAGAGCGCCCACACAUGCCCUGCAGACCGUCUGGUCCUGGAGUGAGAACCUGUCGGCCUACCAGGGUCCCAGGGUCCCUCUUUGGCUUAUAGUGGUCCUGAAGCCCUGGGCACCAUCUGCAGCCUCCAUCAGGGAGCACCUGUGAAGUCUCAGCCCCAGGGAUCAAUACAGUCCCCUCGGCCCACCCACCCCAGCACCUCCUUGGCGGCAGACGCAUACUCAGACACCUGGUGGAUCAGGUCGAGAACUCAGAGCCAUGAAGGACACAUGGUCGGGGGCGCCGCUGCAACGGUCAUGACGCCAUAGCCAGUAUUUAUGGCUUCCUUCCUCCUUCCCGAAUCCCACGUUCCCUCUGCCUCCAGCCAGAGCCGCAGCUGCUCAGGAGACUUUACCAGCAGUAAAAUCCACGGCGCACCAGCAAGAGCCAUUGUGUGUGCGCCGAGUGUGCUCAGCCAGUCUCCUGUUGAUGGACACCUGGUGUUUUCAACCUGCAUGUGAUCACAAGCAAUAAAAUGAAUAAUCUUGCUAG
Long non-coding RNA from Bubalus bubalis (water buffalo), 568 nucleotides. RefSeq lists it as uncharacterized. The transcript is spliced from 3 exons. NCBI's taxonomy places the organism in Eukaryota, Metazoa, Chordata, Mammalia, Artiodactyla, Bovidae. The record is from RefSeq and is a predicted model, not a curated record.